AACCUUUACACUGCACGACAGUGCGAUAGGGGGACUCCGAGUGCGAGGGCAUAUAGCCCUCGCUUUUCUGUACCGUAAGGUGGUACAGGAACAAGUGCUGGGCAAGACCGGUGCCAGCCGCCGCGGUAAUACCGGCAGCACGAGUGAUGGCCGAUUUUAUUGGGCCUAAAGCGUCCGUAGCCGGCCGAGCAAGUCCGUUGGGAAAUCCGCGCGCUCAACGCGCGGGCGUCCAGCGGAAACUGUCCGGCUUGGGGCCGGAAGACCUGAGGGGUACGUCCGGGGUAGGAGUGAAAUCCUGUAAUCUCGGACGGACCGCCUGUGGCGAAAGCGCCUCAGGAAGACGGACCCGACAGUGAGGGACGAAAGCCAGGGUCUCGAACCGGAUUAGAUACCCGGGUAGUCCUGGCUGUAAACGAUGUCCGCUAGGUGUGACGCAGGCUACGGGCCUGCGCUGUGCCGUAGGGAAGCCGUGAAGCGGACCGCCUGGGAAGUACGUCUGCAAGGAUGAAACUUAAAGGAAUUGGCGGGGGAGCAC
RNAcentral lists this ribosomal RNA (535 nucleotides) under uncultured archaeon. RNAcentral describes it as "bacterial SSU rRNA". It matches the Rfam family "Archaeal small subunit ribosomal RNA", at positions 345 to 879 of the family's 1478-position model. The record is from RNAcentral.